RNAcentral lists this long non-coding RNA (209 nucleotides) under Salvia miltiorrhiza (redroot sage). RNAcentral describes it as "long non-coding RNA (SMIL_LNC000828)". The record is from RNAcentral. Lineage: Eukaryota; Viridiplantae; Streptophyta; Magnoliopsida; Lamiales; Lamiaceae.
AGCGGCGAUUCGCGGAGAGAGGAACGGCGGUGCGGACGUCGGAAAUCGAAGCUUGAGGGGCAGAUUUAGGGAUCUAGGGUUUCACCGAGAUCUAAGCCCUUCCCCCUCUGUAAAUCGAGAUCUAAGCCCUAAAUCCGCCGAGAACUAUCGCGCCACCGCCUCCAACAACUUCACCUUCCAUCCGCCUUCUUCCACCGCCUCGCACCUCC